Molecule: ribosomal RNA, 262 nt
Filed under: Myriosclerotinia luzulae
Lineage: Eukaryota; Fungi; Ascomycota; Leotiomycetes; Helotiales; Sclerotiniaceae
Description: partial 28S ribosomal RNA
Rfam family: Eukaryotic large subunit ribosomal RNA
Source: RNAcentral
GUGUACCUAAUAUGCGAGUGUUUGGGUGUUAAACCCAUACGCGUAAUGAAAGUGAACGGAGGUGAGAACCCUUAAGGGUGCAUCAUCGACCGAUCCUGAUGUCUUCGGAUGGAUUUGAGUAAGAGCAUAUUGGGUGCGACCCGAAAGAUGGUGAUCUAUACGUGAAUAGGGUGAAGCCAGAGGAAACUCUGGUGGAGGCUCGCAGCGGUUCUGACGUGCAAAUCGAUCGUCAAAUUUGCGUAUAGGGGCGAAAGACUAAUCG